Molecule: long non-coding RNA, 1251 nt
Filed under: Zalophus californianus (California sea lion)
Lineage: Eukaryota; Metazoa; Chordata; Mammalia; Carnivora; Otariidae
Description: lncRNA (ENSZCAG00015007140.1)
Source: RNAcentral
UUUUUUUGUUUUGUUUUUUGUUUUUUUUUUUAGUUGUCUUGCCUAAAAGGUUUGUUAUGUCUUUCCUGUCCUCUUUCUAUGGUUUGGUUUUUUGAAGAAGAAAUGUAGUAUUGGCCUCUCCCUUAGGUUCAGUGUGUAUUCUCUACGGCCGAACCAAUUCUAUGUAUUAGCAGCCAUCCUGGAUCCCUGAAGACGAGCAGCUGAAGAGGUGGAAAUGUGGUUGACUCUUAAUUUCCUUUUCAGCAAACAGAUUUUAUUAAAGUUUAUUCCUUCAGAUACUCUUUAUAGCAGCUGAGAGGCUCAAACACUUGAUGGCUGUGAGCUAAAGUUUCUUUAGAGUCUGCAGGAGGAAGAUAAAAUCAAGUCAGUCCAACUGGUUUCAGGUAAAUUCGUGUGAAAAUCAUACUGUUAACUUGAAGAUUUUACUAGGGUGGUCCAUGGAUAAAAACUGAUACAAAUCACUAUUAGUGUGAUUUUUUUUUUUAAAAAUUACUGUUUUUUUUUUUUUUUAAGAAUUAAAUGGCGUAAUACUUCAACAUUUUGGCAAAAACCUAAUUUCUUGAAUCUUUGGUUCAUUUUCCAUUCAUAUUUCUGUAAGAUAAGAUGUACUCAUUUUAAUUGGACUAAGCAGUAAACCUAUUGAUAAGUGCCAGAAGGACAUGUACAUACGAUUCUUUUUUUUUUUUACAUGUGAUUCUUUAAUUAUAUUUUUCUGAACUUGUAGCCCAUGUGCUUUAUAUGCAAAAUUUUCAUUAGGCACAAAGCCUUUCUUCAGAUACCACAUUCUGUGAAGGAGAGGAGAUGCCUUAGGAUUCCUUGAACAUCAGAAUUGGUUAGCCUCAGCUUGGGUAAAUAGUCCUUAUGUUGCACUGUUUUCUUCAUAACUUUGGUAUUUAAAAAAAAUGGAUCUUGAGCUAAUCUCACUAUUUCAUUAAAACUUGUUUUAUGUGUUUUCCCUCUUUCCCUAAAAGGUGAGAAAGCUGAACUCUUAAAAUUUUACCAUGGUAUUCAGUGUGCUCAUGUGGAGGAAAAGUGUUACAGAAUAAAAACAGAUUUAAACCUUUGGACAUCUGAUAAUUUAAUAUGCAGUUUUCUGGUUCACCAAGAUGUGCUAAUUAUGAAGUCAUUCAAGUAUCAGUUCUUCACUGAAGACCCCAAAUUCCAGUACACAUAGGUAGGUCUAGUACAAACGUGACAGCUGUCUUUUGGACUCCCUUCUUGUAUUCUCCUGUAAUGAAUGUGUGUUAUGUC